This 1644-nucleotide ribosomal RNA is filed under the name Escherichia coli. Its description in RNAcentral is "partial 23S ribosomal RNA". It matches the Rfam family "Bacterial large subunit ribosomal RNA", at positions 1216 to 2839 of the family's 2925-position model. Lineage: Bacteria; Pseudomonadati; Pseudomonadota; Gammaproteobacteria; Enterobacterales; Enterobacteriaceae. The record is from RNAcentral.
AUGCGUUGUUGGGUAGGGGAGCGUUCUGUAAGCCUGCGAAGGUGUGCUGUGAGGCAUGCUGGAGGUAUCAGAAGUGCGAAUGCUGACAUAAGUAACGAUAAAGCGGGUGAAAAGCCCGCUCGCCGGAAGACCAAGGGUUCCUGUCCAACGUUAAUCGGGGCAGGGUGAGUCGACCCCUAAGGCGAGGCCGAAAGGCGUAGUCGAUGGGAAACAGGUUAAUAUUCCUGUACUUGGUGUUACUGCGAAGGGGGGACGGAGAAGGCUAUGUUGGCCGGGCGACGGUUGUCCCGGUUUAAGCGUGUAGGCUGGUUUUCCAGGCAAAUCCGGAAAAUCAAGGCUGAGGCGUGAUGACGAGGCACUGCGGUGCUGAAGCAACAAAUGCCCUGCUUCCAGGAAAAGCCUCUAAGCAUCAGGUAACAUCAAAUCGUACCCCAAACCGACACAGGUGGUCAGGUAGAGAAUACCAAGGCGCUUGAGAGAACUCGGGUGAAGGAACUAGGCAAAAUGGUGCCGUAACUUCGGGAGAAGGCACGCUGAUAUGUAGGUGAAGUCCCUCGCGGAUGGAGCUGAAAUCAGUCGAAGAUACCAGCUGGCUGCAACUGUUUAUUAAAAACACAGCACUGUGCAAACACGAAAGUGGACGUAUACGGUGUGACGCCUGCCCGGUGCCGGAAGGUUAAUUGAUGGGGUUAGCGCAAGCGAAGCUCUUGAUCGAAGCCCCGGUAAACGGCGGCCGUAACUAUAACGGUCCUAAGGUAGCGAAAUUCCUUGUCGGGUAAGUUCCGACCUGCACGAAUGGCGUAAUGAUGGCCAGGCUGUCUCCACCCGAGACUCAGUGAAAUUGAACUCGCUGUGAAGAUGCAGUGUACCCGCGGCAAGACGGAAAGACCCCGUGAACCUUUACUAUAGCUUGACACUGAACAUUGAGCCUUGAUGUGUAGGAUAGGUGGGAGGCUUUGAAGUGUGGACGCCAGUCUGCAUGGAGCCGACCUUGAAAUACCACCCUUUAAUGUUUGAUGUUCUAACGUUGACCCGUAAUCCGGGUUGCGGACAGUGUCUGGUGGGUAGUUUGACUGGGGCGGUCUCCUCCUAAAGAGUAACGGAGGAGCACGAAGGUUGGCUAAUCCUGGUCGGACAUCAGGAGGUUAGUGCAAUGGCAUAAGCCAGCUUGACUGCGAGCGUGACGGCGCGAGCAGGUGCGAAAGCAGGUCAUAGUGAUCCGGUGGUUCUGAAUGGAAGGGCCAUCGCUCAACGGAUAAAAGGUACUCCGGGGAUAACAGGCUGAUACCGCCCAAGAGUUCAUAUCGACGGCGGUGUUUGGCACCUCGAUGUCGGCUCAUCACAUCCUGGGGCUGAAGUAGGUCCCAAGGGUAUGGCUGUUCGCCAUUUAAAGUGGUACGCGAGCUGGGUUUAGAACGUCGUGAGACAGUUCGGUCCCUAUCUGCCGUGGGCGCUGGAGAACUGAGGGGGGCUGCUCCUAGUACGAGAGGACCGGAGUGGACGCAUCACUGGUGUUCGGGUUGUCAUGCCAAUGGCACUGCCCGGUAGCUAAAUGCGGAAGAGAUAAGUGCUGAAAGCAUCUAAGCACGAAACUUGCCCCGAGAUGAGUUCUCCCUGACUCCUUGAGAGUCCUGAAGGAACGUU